This 1483-nucleotide ribosomal RNA is filed under the name uncultured bacterium. RNAcentral describes it as "bacterial SSU rRNA". It matches the Rfam family "Bacterial small subunit ribosomal RNA". The record is from RNAcentral.
UUGAUUAUGGCUCAGGAUGAACGCUAGCGGCAGGCUUAACACAUGCAAGUCGAGGGGCAGCAUGGGAGUAGCAAUACUUCUGAUGGCGACCGGCGCACGGGUGCGUAACGCGUAUGCAACCUACCUGUAACAGGGGGAUAACACUGAGAAAUCGGUACUAAUACCGCAUAGCACUAUGAGAGGCAUCUCUUGUGGUUGAAAGUUUCGGCGGUUACAGAUGGGCAUGCGUUGUAUUAGCUGGUUGGUAAGGUAACGGCUUACCAAGGCGACGAUACAUAGGGGGACUGAGAGGUUAACCCCCCACAUUGGUACUGAGACACGGACCAAACUCCUACGGGAGGCAGCAGUGAGGAAUAUUGGUCAAUGGACGGAAGUCUGAACCAGCCAUGCCGCGUGCAGGAAGACGGCUCUAUGAGUUGUAAACUGCUUUUGUACAAGGGUAAACCUGAAUACGUGUAUUCAGCUGAAAGUAUUGUACGAAUAAGGAUCGGCUAACUCCGUGCCAGCAGCCGCGGUAAUACGGAGGAUCCAAGCGUUAUCCGGAUUUAUUGGGUUUAAAGGGUGCGUAGGCGGAUUGAUAAGUUAGAGGUGAAAUGUCCGAGCUCAACUCGGGAACUGCCUCUAAUACUGUUGAUCUAGAGAGUAGAUGCGGUAGGCGGAAUGUAUGGUGUAGCGGUGAAAUGCUUAGAGAUCAUACAGAACACCGAUUGCGAAGGCAGCUUACCAAUCUAUAUCUGACGUUGAGGCACGAAAGCGUGGGGAGCAAACAGGAUUAGAUACCCUGGUAGUCCACGCAGUAAACGAUGAUAGCUCGUUGUCGGCGAUACACAGUCGGUGACUAAGAGAAAUCGAUAAGCUAUCCACCUGGGGAGUACGUUCGCAAGAAUGAAACUCAAAGGAAUUGACGGGGGCCCGCACAAGCGGAGGAACAUGUGGUUUAAUUCGAUGAUACGCGAGGAACCUUACCCGGGCUUGAAAGUUAGUGACUGAUCUGGAAACAGGUCUUCCCUUCGGGGCACGAAACUAGGUGCUGCAUGGUUGUCGUCAGCUCGUGCCGUGAGGUGUCGGGUUAAGUCCCAUAACGAGCGCAACCCCUACUGAUAGUUGCCAUCAGGUCAAGCUGGGCACUCUAUCGGGACUGCCGGUGUAAGCCGGAGGAGGGUGGGGAUGACGUCAAAUCAGCACGGCCCUUACGUCCGGGGCGACACACGUGUUACAAUGGUAGGUACAGAGGGCCGCUACCCAGCGAUGGGGUGCAAAUCUCGAAAGCCUAUCUCAGUUCGGAUUGGAGGCUGAAACUCGCCUCCAUGAAGUUGGAUUCGCUAGUAAUCGCGCAUCAGCCAUGGCGCGGUGAAUACGUUCCCGGGCCUUGUACACACCGCCCGUCAAGCCAUGGGAGUUGGGGGUGCCUGAAGUUCGUGACCGCAAGGAGCGACCUAGGGCAAAACUAAUGACUGGGGAUAAGUCGUAACAAGGUAGCCGU